Molecule: unclassified non-coding RNA, 336 nt
Filed under: soil metagenome
Description: partial contains 5.8S ribosomal RNA, internal transcribed spacer 2, and large subunit ribosomal RNA
Rfam family: 5.8S ribosomal RNA (bases 1-120)
Source: RNAcentral
GAUGAAGAACGUAGCGAAAUGCGAUAAGUAAUGUGAAUUGCAGAAUUCCGUGAAUGAUCGAAUCUUUGAACGCACAUUGCGCCCCCUGGUAUUCCGGGGGGCAUGCCUGUCCGAGCGUCAUUGCAACCUUCAAGCGCGGCUUGUGUGUUGGGUCUCGUCCCCCGUGGACGGGCCCGAAAGGCAGUGGCGGCGUCCCGACAUGGUGCCCGAGCGUAUGGGAAUCCUCUUCCGCUCGAAUCGGCCCAUGCGGCGCUGGUCGUAACCAAAUUUUUUACCGGUUGACCUCGGAUCAGGUAGGGAUACCCGCUGAACUUAAGCAUAUCAAUAAGCGGAGGA